Molecule: ribosomal RNA, 253 nt
Filed under: uncultured bacterium
Lineage: Bacteria
Description: partial 16S ribosomal RNA
Rfam family: Bacterial small subunit ribosomal RNA
Source: RNAcentral
UACAGAGGGUGCGAGCGUUAAUCGGAAUUACUGGGCGUAAAGGGCGCGUAGGCGGUUAUAUGUGUGGGAUGUGAAAGCCCUGGGCUUAACCUGGGAAGUGCAUACCAAACUGUAUAACUGGAGCAUAUGAGAGGGUAGCGGAAUUUCCGGUGUAGCGGUGAAAUGCGUAGAGAUCCGGAGGAACACCAGCGGCGAAGGCGGCAUCCUGGACUGGUCCUGACACUCAGGAGCGAAAGCGUGGGGAGCGAUCCGG